This 372-nucleotide long non-coding RNA is filed under the name Rattus norvegicus (Norway rat). RNAcentral describes it as "long non-coding RNA NONRATT031646". Lineage: Eukaryota; Metazoa; Chordata; Mammalia; Rodentia; Muridae. The record is from RNAcentral.
CUCAAAGGCUUUCAAAAAUCCUGAGGCAAAAAAGCUCGGAAGCUAACAGAACACAAGGAGAAACUCUACCUUGUCCCAAAUUGUAACGGCUGGAGUAAAGUUAAGAACAGCUGCUCUUCUAGAGGACUCCAGUUCAAUUCCCAGCACCCUCCUGGCAGAUCACAGAUGUCUGUAACUCCAGUUCUAGGGGAUCUGACACCAUCAUACAGACACACAUGCAGGUUAAACACCAAUACAUGUGAAAUAAAAUAAGUUAAAAAAGGAAAAAAAAUAAAGACAAAGAAAAAAAUUCAAUCCCCACAUGGCCCAAAUAUUGUGAAAGCCUUGGUUUUUGUAAAGAGAGAAAAAAAAACCCUCUUUGUUUGAAUGAUG